This 329-nucleotide unclassified non-coding RNA is filed under the name soil metagenome. RNAcentral's name for it is "partial contains 5.8S ribosomal RNA, internal transcribed spacer 2, and large subunit ribosomal RNA". The stretch from base 1 to 120 matches the Rfam family "5.8S ribosomal RNA", at positions 35 to 154 of the family's 154-position model. The record is from RNAcentral.
GAUGAAGAACGUAGCGAAAUGCGAUAAGUAAUGUGAAUUGCAGAAUUCAGUGAAUCAUCGAAUCUUUGAACGCACAUUGCGCCCCUUGGUAUUCCGAGGGGCAUGCCUGUUCGAGCGUCAUUACAACCCCUCAAGCUCAGCUUGGUGUUGGGGCCUGCUGCACUGGCAGCCCUUAAAAUCAGUGGCGGCGCCAUCUGGCUCUAAGCGUAGUAAUUCUUCUCGCUAUGGAGUCCUGGUGGAUGCUUGCCAUCAACCCCCAAUUUUUCUAUGGUUGACCUCGGAUCAGGUAGGGAUACCCGCUGAACUUAAGCAUAUCAAUAAGCGAAGGA